ACACAAAGAAGAAGAAGAAGAAGCGCUGCAUUUUUCAUGAAACGGGAGUAAAGUAGUGAACUUACAGGAACAUAUAACACCACCAACGUUUGGAUCGAUAUCUGCAUCGAUCUGCACACCCUUCUCUCCUGGAUUGUAGCUGAGAUCAGCGUGAACCACGUGGGUCUCUGCUCCCUGAUCUGUUUGGAAAGACUUCCAGCUUCAUCGCGGAGUUUCUCUCGGUUUGUGGGCUCAUCUAAAGCUGAGUAACAGCAGGAGAAGAGUCUGGUGGUGCAGCAGAGCAACAAUUUCAGCCAUUUGGACUCAGCUCAGCCACUACAGAGGAAACAAUGACUUCAACACAAAAGGACCAACAUGGAGCGAGAAGUCAGCGCUCUCAGGAGGCCGACAAACCUCACAGAAGAAAGGGAAAGAAAACCUUCAGCUGUGAUGAGUGUGGGAAGGAUUUUACCCAGGCUGGACACUUAAAAACUCACCAACUCAUCCACAGUGGAGUUAAACCGUACAGCUGUGACUUGUGUGGAAAGUCUUUUAACCAGGCUGGAUACUUAAAAACACACCGACUCAUCCACAGUGGAGUUAAAGCUUACAGUUGUGAGUUGUGUGGAAAGUAUUUUACCCAGGCUGGAAACUUAAAACACACCAACUCAUCCACAGUGGAGUUAAACCUUACAGUUGUGACUUGUGUGGAAAGUCUUUUACCUGGCCUAGAGACUUAAAAUCACACCAACUCAUCCACAGUGGAUUUAAACCGUACAGCUGUGAGUUGUGUGGAAAGUGUUUUACCCAGGCUGGAAACUUAAAAUCACACCAACUCAUCCACAGUGGAGUUAAACCUUACAGUUGUGACUUGUGUGGAAAGUCUUUUACCCGGGCUAUAGACUUAAAAUCACACCAACCUAUCCACAGUGGAUUUAAACUGUACAGCUGUGACUUGUGUGGUAAAAGUUUCAGCAACAAACACUACCGAAGUAUUCACCUACGGAUUCACACUGGAAAUGAUGUUUACUGCUGUGAUCAGUGUGGGAAACUGUUUACAACAGAUGCACAGUUACAACAACACAUGUUUAGCCACACUGAGGAGA
This is a long non-coding RNA of Pelmatolapia mariae (spotted tilapia), 1085 nucleotides long. RefSeq lists it as uncharacterized. The record is from RefSeq and is a predicted model, not a curated record. Lineage: Eukaryota; Metazoa; Chordata; Actinopteri; Cichliformes; Cichlidae. The transcript is spliced from 3 exons.